GAUGAAGAACGCAGCGAAAUGCGAUAAGUAAUGUGAAUUGCAGAAUUCAGUGAAUCAUCGAAUCUUUGAACGCACAUUGCGCCCGUCAGUAUUCUGGCGGGCAUGCCUGUUCGAGCGUCAUUACGCCCCUCAAGUCCCCUGUGGACUUGGUGUUGGGGAUCGGCGAGGCUGGUUUUCCAGCACAGCCGUCCCUUAAAUUAAUUGGCGGUCUCGCCGUGGCCCUCCUCUGCGCAGUAGUAAAACACUCGCAACAGGAGCCCGGCGCGGUCCACUGCCGUAAAACCCCCCAACUUUUUAUAGUUGACCUCGAAUCAGGUAGGACUUCCCGCUGAACUUAAGCAUAUCAAUAAGCGGAGGA
This 358-nucleotide unclassified non-coding RNA is filed under the name soil metagenome. Its description in RNAcentral is "partial contains 5.8S ribosomal RNA, internal transcribed spacer 2, and large subunit ribosomal RNA". The stretch from base 1 to 120 matches the Rfam family "5.8S ribosomal RNA", at positions 35 to 154 of the family's 154-position model. The record is from RNAcentral.